Molecule: ribosomal RNA, 565 nt
Filed under: uncultured bacterium
Lineage: Bacteria
Description: partial 16S ribosomal RNA
Rfam family: Bacterial small subunit ribosomal RNA
Source: RNAcentral
UGGGGAAUAUUGGACAAUGGGCGCAAGCCUGAUCCAGCCAUGCCGCGUGAGUGAUGAAGGUCUUAGGAUUGUAAAGCUCUUUCACCGGUGAAGAUAAUGACGGUAACCGGAGAAGAAGCCCCGGCUAACUUCGUGCCAGCAGCCGCGGUAAUACGAAGGGGGCUAGCGUUGUUCGGAAUUACUGGGCGUAAAGCGCAUGUAGGCGGAUAUUUAAGUCAGGGGUGAAAUCCCGCAGCUCAACUGCGGAACUGCCUUUGAUACUGGGUAUCUUGAGUAUGGAAGAGGUGAGUGGAAUUCCGAGUGUAGAGGUGAAAUUCGUAGAUAUUCGGAGGAACACCAGUGGCGAAGGCGGCUCACUGGUCCAUUACUGACGCUGAGGUGCGAAAAGCGUGGGGAGCAAAACAGGAUUAGAUACCCUGGUAGUCCACGCCGUAAAACGAUGAAUGUUAGCCGUCGGGCAGUAUACUGUUCGGUGGCGCAGCUAACGCAUUAAAACAUUCCGCCUGGGGAGUACGGUCGCAAGAUUAAAAACUCAAAUGAAUUGACGGGGUCAUAGCUGUUUCCU